This 376-nucleotide ribosomal RNA is filed under the name uncultured bacterium. RNAcentral's name for it is "bacterial SSU rRNA". It matches the Rfam family "Bacterial small subunit ribosomal RNA", at positions 524 to 898 of the family's 1533-position model. The record is from RNAcentral.
GACAGAGGGUGCAAACGUUGCUCGGAAUUACUGGGCGUAAAGCGCGUGUAGGCGGUUACGCGAGUCAGGUGUGAAAGCCCAGGGCUCAACCCUGGAAGUGCACUUGAUACUACGUAGCUGGAGUCCUGUAGAGGAGAGCGGAAUUCCCGGUGUAGAGGUGAAAUUCGUAGAUAUCGGGAGGAACACCAGUGGCGAAGGCGGCUCUCUGGACAGGUACUGACGCUGAGACGCGAAAGCGUGGGUAGCAAACAGGAUUAGAUACCCUGGUAGUCCACGCUGUAAACGAUGAGAACUGGGUGUUGCGGGUAUUGACCCCCGCGGUGCCGAAGCCAACGCGUUAAGUUCUCCGCCUGGGAAGUACGGCCGCAAGGCUAAA